GUGUAGCAGGUUUCUAUCACUGGGGAAAUUCAUGAAGAGAGAUUCCAGAAACAAAGGAGAACCAUGCUGAAAAAUUGAAGGACAGCUACCGCGUCCCAUGUGCACACCUCGUUCCUGAGUUUGGGAGCUCCAUUCCUGAGUUUUUUGGGAGGAAAAGGAGAUGAAAGCACCUUUUGGAAAGUUUAAAAAUGCCCCAUGUGCUACUACCAGGUCUGUCUGUAGUUGGAAGAGCACAUAGGUAGUGGUAUUUGGGCAAAUGUGGGACAAUAACUAACACUUUCAUGGGGGAAAGAAAGAUGGUGGACCAAAGGAAAUGACUGGCUGAGGAACAACGUGUCCGAAGCACUGGGCUUCAUUGCAAAGUGAAGCCCAUAAAAGACACAACUAGAAGACCUGGCCCCGGAGUCAGCAUCUUUCUGCCACUUCCUUGGCCUCUCUAUGUCUUUUUUAGCCGCCUGCUCUGGCUAGAGAGUUCAUGUGUCUGUGGCGCUUAGUUAGUGGCUCUCUAGUUGUGGUAUAUACAGUUGUCCUUCCCAAGACAGUGCAGUUCAUUGGAAGGCAUUGUUUGCAUCACAGCGUUUGCUCAAGACUGGGUCCAGGAUCUCUUGUGUGUAUCUGGUAAUGAAAUGCCCAUGCUGUGUGCUCAGAAACCUUUGUAAAGCAGGCGAGGCUGUGGGGUGUACUGUACCUUCUCCCGGCUCUUCUGGAGGGCCAUUUAUUGAUGGUUCGGUUCAGAUAGCUAGAAGACCUUUGAGCUGUGGGAAGUGUGAGCCCAUGGGGUGGAAAGGUUAAUGUCCUCGUUGUUCACAUUUGCACCUUAAUUCAGCAAAUAUUUACCAAAUGUUUCCUGGUUACUGGCUCUUCUGUAAGCACUCUGUCAAACGUACAAGAUGUAGCUAGGAGAGGCGCUAAGAUGAGUACAAAGGACUCAUACAGGAGGCUGUGUGCUAGGUGCUGUGGGUAUCUUCACAGCUCUGGGGAGGCCAGCCAGUGAUGAGGAGGAUCAGAAGGCUGUGCAGUUCACCCUCAGUGAUUUUUGCCCUGUUUUAGGAGACUUGCACUGCAGUCUAAGUGACAGCUUAGUGCAAAUAGCCUUACCUCAGCAGACCUUAGU
Molecule: long non-coding RNA, 1114 nt
Filed under: Mus musculus (house mouse)
Lineage: Eukaryota; Metazoa; Chordata; Mammalia; Rodentia; Muridae
Description: long non-coding RNA chr11:96637369-96638483
Source: RNAcentral